GGGGGCGAAAAUGGUUUCGACGGGGAUUUUGAGCUUAAAGUAGCGAGUCGUUGAUGGAUCACACAACGUAAAAAUGGUCUAUUAAAAAAUAAACGACGAAAAUAAUUUCGCACUAGCUGCCUAAUUAGGUAGCAAUCCGGCCAGACACCGCGAACUGUAACCGGGUUUCAAAUUAGCGGGCAAACGAACUCUGUGAGGCGCCAUAGCAGAGGGGGUUUAUGGCGAUACCCUGUAUGAGUUUGACACUCUAGUAGUACAGGGGAAAAUUAAAGAGGAGUCUGCACUCGGAGAAUCUUUCUGUAAGGGGUCUUCGGACGUGGGUUCGACUCCCACCGCCUCCACCA
Peptoniphilus harei ACS-146-V-Sch2b is the source of this 344-nucleotide non-coding RNA. It matches the Rfam family "transfer-messenger RNA". From Rfam's summary of the family: Bacterial tmRNA, also known as 10Sa RNA or SsrA, is named for its dual tRNA and mRNA-like properties. Its role is to liberate the mRNA from a stalled ribosome. NCBI's taxonomy places the organism in Bacteria, Bacillati, Bacillota, Tissierellia, Tissierellales, Peptoniphilaceae. The record is from Rfam.